AAAGUGUUAUUUUAAAUAAAAUAUAGACCUUCAAAGUCUAAGAAGAGAUAUUUUCUCACACUUUG
This 65-nucleotide transfer RNA is filed under the name Enchiridium sp. MTA_2015. RNAcentral describes it as "tRNA-Trp". Lineage: Eukaryota; Metazoa; Platyhelminthes; Polycladida; Prosthiostomidae. The record is from RNAcentral.